UACGAAGGGUGCAAGCGUUGUUCGGAUUUAUUGGGCGUAAAGCGCGCGCAGGCGGAUUUUUAAGUCAGAUGUGAAAGCUCAGGGCCUAACCCUGAAAGUGCGUCUGAAACUGGAAGUCUAGAAUACCAAAGAGGAAAGGGGAAUAUCUCAUGUAGGGGUAAAAUCCGUAGAGAUGAGAUGGAACAUCGGAGGCGAAGGCGCCUUUCUGGUUGGUUAUUGACGCUGAGGCGCGAAAGCGUGGGGAGCAAACAGG
This 253-nucleotide ribosomal RNA is filed under the name uncultured bacterium. Its description in RNAcentral is "partial 16S ribosomal RNA". It matches the Rfam family "Bacterial small subunit ribosomal RNA", at positions 524 to 776 of the family's 1533-position model. The record is from RNAcentral.